GACGAACGCUGGCGGCGUGCCUAACACAUGCAAGUCGAGCGAUGAAACCCUUCGGGGUGGAUUAGCGGCGGACGGGUGAGUAACACGUGGGUAACCUACCUCAAAGAGGGGGAUAGCCUCCCGAAAGGGAGAUUAAUACCGCAUAACAUUAGUUUUUCGCAUGAAGAACUAAUUAAAGGAGUAAUCCGCUUUGAGAUGGACCCGCGGCGCAUUAGCUAGUUGGUGAGGUAAAGGCUCACCAAGGCGACGAUGCGUAGCCGACCUGAGAGGGUGAUCGGCCACAUUGGAACUGAGAUACGGUCCAGACUCCUACGGGAGGCAGCAGUGGGGAAUAUUGCACAAUGGGCGAAAGCCUGAUGCAGCAACGCCGCGUGAGUGAUGAAGGCCUUCGGGUUGUAAAGCUCUGUCUUUGGGGACGAUAAUGACGGUACCCAAGGAGGAAGCCACGGCUAACUACGUGCCAGCAGCCGCGGUAAUACGUAGGUGGCAAGCGUUGUCCGGAUUUACUGGGCGUAAAGGAUGCGUAGGCGGAUAUUUAAGUCAGAUGUGAAAACCCCGAGCUUAACUUGGGGACUGCAUUUGAAACUGGAUAUCUAGAGUGUGGGAGAGGAGAAUGGAAUUCCUAGUGUAGCGGUGAAAUGCGUAGAGAUUAGGAAGAACACCAGUGGCGAAGGCGAUUCUCUGGACCAUAACUGACGCUGAGGCAUGAAAGCGUGGGUAGCAAACAGGAUUAGAUACCCUGGUAGUCCACGCCGUAAACGAUGAGUACUAGGUGUAGGAGGGUCCAACCUUCUGUGCCGCAGUUAACACAAUAAGUACUC
RNAcentral lists this ribosomal RNA (821 nucleotides) under uncultured bacterium. RNAcentral's name for it is "bacterial SSU rRNA". It matches the Rfam family "Bacterial small subunit ribosomal RNA", at positions 28 to 869 of the family's 1533-position model. The record is from RNAcentral.